GGAAAUCUCACCAGGCCCGGACACUGGAAGGAUUGACAGAUUGAGAGCUCUUUCUCGAUUCGGUGGGUGGUGGUGCAUGGCCGUUCUUAGUUGGUGGAGUGAUUUGUCUGGUUAAUUCCGAUAACGAACGAGACUCUGUCCUGCUAAAUAGUGUCAGCCUCUCUUUUGGGCUGACAAUUCUUCUUAGAGGGACUGGCGGCACCUAGCCGCACGAAAUAGAGCAAUAA
Molecule: ribosomal RNA, 227 nt
Filed under: uncultured eukaryote
Lineage: Eukaryota
Description: partial small subunit ribosomal RNA
Rfam family: Eukaryotic small subunit ribosomal RNA
Source: RNAcentral